This is a long non-coding RNA of Episyrphus balteatus (marmalade hoverfly), 1612 nucleotides long. RefSeq lists it as uncharacterized. The transcript is spliced from 3 exons. The record is from RefSeq and is a predicted model, not a curated record. Lineage: Eukaryota; Metazoa; Arthropoda; Insecta; Diptera; Syrphidae.
AAAAAAAAAAAAACUGCCAGAGGCAGAGGGUUGAAGUUGAAUAACGUAACAAAACGAACGUGUAACAAACGAUGAACUAAACUAGUGGAUGAAACCACCACACAACCCAUACAUUUGCAUUUUUGCUGCUGAGCGCAAAGGCAAAAAUCCCAAAAACCAAAAGCACAAAACAAAAACACAACACAACUCGCAAUCUCGCACACUACCACACAAAAACAAAAAAAAAUUUGAAGCAAGCAGCAGUAGCAGCAGCAUUAUUUUUCAUUAGAAAAAGCAGCAACGGGCAAUAGGAAUAGCAAUAGCAAGCACCAGCACAACCACUCACUAAAGCCAUAGCACUCGAAAGAGAAGAGCAUUCGACGCAGGCAAGGCACACACAGUGGUAACUCUGGUUUGUGGGCCCCCAAAAACGCAAUUCACCGAAUUCAUGUUUGUCUAUUCGGCCCUAGGUUUCGGAGGUGCUCGCAGCGCAGUAGUGUGCACUCGUCGUCGUUGUCAAUAAAACGUUUUUAACUUCUUCUUCCCAAAAUUUUCAAAAAAAAAAAAAAAAAAAAUUCAACACAAAAAAUUUUUAAUUCUUAAAAAAAUUACAAAAAAAAAAAAAAAUUUUAAACAAAAACAAAAAUUUUAUCGCUCGCGCAAAAAUGAUAUCGAAUAAACAAAUUAAGUGACAAAACAUACAAACAAACACACAACAUUUUUGCAUUGUUAGUUACUGUUUUUUUAUAAGUUUUUCGAAUUUGUUUUUAAUUCACAACAAAAAUCAUUUUUGCAUUCUACACACAUGCAACUCCCCAAACGAAUUAAAUGUAUUUUUGAGUAAUGAGUGAGUGAAACUUUAACAAAAAUUUAAUAAUAGUGGAUUGUUGUUAGGUGUGGAAGAGUGGAAAUAGUGGAUGCAUUUUCACCCUUAUUUUCCUUCCAAAUUUCCCAAAAUUUUUAUCAUUGCUAUCAGUUGUCUCUCUUUUAUUUUUUGGGGGUUCUUUUGCUUUCUCGGUGGUUAAAUUUUUCUGUUCUCUACGUUGUUGUUGUUCUUGUUCGUAUUAUAGUCGUGCAGAGUACUGCUUCGCUGCAAGUGCGUGUGAAUAAAAUUACGCAUAAAAUAAAAGAAACAAGCACAAAGUAUAAAAAAAAAAUCGAUAAAUCUCAAAGAGAAUAAUAAUUUAUGAUUUAAAUUAACAACAACUCCUUUGCAGCCACUGCAUUGACAUACAUACAUAAAAUUUAUGUGAAUUAUAAGAAACAAAAAAAAAAAAAGAAUUCUAAUUAUGGUGAGAACGAGAUUUAAUUAAAGUUGAAAUAAAUACAAGAAAAAAGAGACUGACAAUCGGUAUAGUUCGGUUGUUUUUGGGACUCGUUGUGACUCGGGGGGUUGUUUACCAAAGUGAUUUCACAAAAAUGAUUGUAAUAAAAAGAACACAAAUUAAAAGUCUGCGAUAAAGUGAGAACGAAGAGUUAAAUAUUUGUUCUUUAUUUAUAAGACAAAUGCUCAAAAAAGAACUCAAAAAUCUAAAACAGAAAGGUUGUAUAAAUUUAAUUAUUAAAUAAUAUAAAAAAAAAAUAAAUUAUUUAAAUAAACAUCAUAAUAAAUUAUGCAACAAAAAAAUAUAGU